UGUUGGGUGAUACUGACUGACAAACUCGGGUAAACAUAUCUGCAGAUACCUGUCAGCUACUGUACUUCUAAUCCAGAGGUGCCCAAAGUUGGCCCACAAUAGAUCUUUAAUUUGGCCCAUCAUGCCACAUGAGAUAAGGAAAAAGAACAAAAGUCAUUGACGCAGAUGUUCAUAUUUUUAAUUAAACAUUUUCUAAAAUGUAUCAUUUUUUUGUUGUAUUUUUACAUUACAAAAAUGUAAAUUAAUAUUAAAUGCAAGGGAUUAAAGUGAAUUUUUUUAUGUUUCAUGCAUACUUGAAGGUGUAUAAAAUGCAUCACAAAACUUAAUGAACUCGGGUACUACAGGCUAAAAAUGAAGAGGUUUUGGCAGUGGCACACAGAGAAAAGGAUAUUUUAAAUUGAUUGGCAAAAUGAUUUUUUUUACAAAAAGCCUUGGAAAAUAAAACUGCAUUAGUUAUGCAUAAACAGAGUAAUGUUUGCUUAUUUAUUUUUAAAAUAUUAGAAAAUUAUAAAUUAGGGUUUAUCAGAGCAACUUUAAUUUUAUUAUAACACAACAACAUUUACUUUUGGGCCACGGCCCUCAGUCAGGUUUGGCCCUUGUAAGGAAAAUGUUCGGGCACCAAUCAAUGUGUAGUUUAUCUGAGGAGGUAACUGUUUAGCAUAUGAUAAUGCAUGCUUGUACAAAGUCAGUCCACAUAUUAUAAUGUUUGUCUUCAAUCAAUCAAUUUAAAUAAAUGAGAUGGGGACUUUAUAAUAUAAUAAGGGUCCAUAUAUCACAGUGAUAAAAGACAUACAUGUAUUUUUACUUUAACAUGAACUAAUGCUGAGUUAAGGCAUAUACUAUCAUAAACUAAGAGUCAUCAUUAAGAUGACAUGUUUUUCAUUGUUAGUUAAUGCAUUCAUUUACAAUGAAUUAAUUUGAGUUCAUGUUGUAAUUAAGUAAGUUCAGUAAGUUACAUGUCUUAACUCAGCAUUAGUUUUGUAUUUACUUAUAUUUAAGUAAGAAUUCAUUUAGGUAUAUGUUCAAUGUUUCCAAUGAUGAGCAGUUAAUCCACUAAACCCAAAGAUAAUUCCUGAGGCAUGUUUAAAGAGUUUUGUAUUUCAUCAAAGAUUUUAUAUUUAAGAAAAUCUGAGCAUCAUUCAAAAUAACUGUUAACAUGUUUGUCAACUAAACAUGUUUUGUCAACGUUAUAAACUUUAUAUAAAUAUUUUUUAUUAAUGACCAAGUAUAAAGAACCAUGCAUAGCGUGAAAACGCGGAUUAUAUAAAAGUAUAUAAUAAAGUGCGAGCAGAGGAUCAAUCAAACUUGGGCUGGAAUGAUUGUAGUGCAUCCAAUGCACCUUGGAAUUCGUAGUUUACAUCUACAGCAGCAUAUGCUACAGCAGUGACAACGCCAAAGAAAAGGACUACAUUUCCCAGAAUGCACCUGCACCCACUCAUCUGCCCCCACUCUUCAGGUGCGACUGCUUGACCUAUGGGCUUGACGGGAAAAUUCAAAAUCGCGAACCGUUACAGCGGUCGUUUGUUUGCUCAUCAACAGUAAGAGAAAUAAUGAAGUAACAGUGGAAGCUAAAACAUCAGACUGAUCCAGACACUGAAGAAAUUGAUGUCACUGCAAUCUGGCCAAAAUGAUAGAAAUAAUGAAGUAACAGUGGAAGCUAAAACAUCAGACUGAUCCAGACACUGAAGAAAUUGAUGUCACUGCAAUCUGGCCAAAAUGAUAGAAAUAUAAUGAAGUAACAGUGGAAGCUAAAACAUCAAACUGAUCCAGACACUGAAGAAAUUGAUGUCACUGCAAUCUGGCCAAAAUGAUACAACUAUAUUGAAGUAGCCUACUGUAAUGAAGCUGCAGAACGUCACAGAGACUCUGAGGACAUCAACACAGAAUAUCAAGGCUCCCAAGAGAUGUCUGUCCAGAUGAGGGUGCAUCAACGUUACCUUUGCUGACAAGUAUAUGCUUUACAAUGUAAAACCUAACAGUUAACUUAACUCAAACCAUUUAAGGAAAUUGGUUGCCUUAAAUCAUUAAGUUUUAAAAAAACAUACAUUUGAGUACUGUGAACUUAAGUCUUGUGCAAUUAUGCACUUAUAUUUAGGUAGUGUGAACUUAAAUAUAAGUGCUUAACUGCAUGUGACUCAAUUUGUUUAAGUUCACAGUACUCAAAUCUAUGUGUUUUAAAACUUGAAUGGUUUAAUGCAACCGGUUUUCUUAAAUGUGAGAAAUUACAGUGUUACAGUUAGAAAUGUUUGAAUAAUUCCAAGACAGAGCUCUGUGAUUGAUUCUACACUGCAAAAAUCACUUUCUAACACUUUUUAUCUUGUUUUCAGUAGAAAAACUAAAAAUUCUUAAAUCAAGAUGUAUUUUCUUGAUGAGCAAAAUUACCUUAGAAAAUAUGUCUAGUUUUUAGACAAAAAUAUACAAUUUAAGAUAAUUUGUGCCUAAACAAGAAAAAAUAUCUAACAAUUGGGUGAGAAAAUUGUGUUUUAAUUAAGUUUUUAAGAAAAAAGAAAACUUAAGAUUUUUUUCUCACACUAUUGGCAGAUAUUUUUGCUUGUUUUAAGCACAAAUUCACUAAAUACACAGACACACACACAUUAUUUAUUUGGUCUAAAACUAGACUUAUUUUCUUGGGUCAUUUUGUUCCUCAAGAAAAAGCAUUUUAAUUUAAAUAAUAUUUCUACAGAAAACAAGACAAAAAUACUAUGUAAGAAAGUCAUUUUUUGCAGUGUAGGACUAAUUUCUUUAGAUUAUUUAGAUAUUUACUACAUUACAGUGGCAGCUGGUGACUUCUUUUUUUUGUGAGCACUCAAUGCGAAGUUUGUCACAACAUGUAUAUAGCCCGUCAUUUGUGUGGUUCCCAAUUUCAAAAUAUGUGUUCUGUGUGUCGAGUGCGUGUAUGUGCAUCACGUGUUUUGACUAAACACGUGAUGCACGUGGUUUACAUGAAGCAACAAACACAUAUUUUAAAAACACAAGCAACACGCAUGACACUCUGAACACUUAUUUUGAAUUUGCAACCCUCGGAUGAGCAGUCACGAGCCGCCACUGCUACAUUGCAUUGUACUGCUUUGAAUGUAGUUUUCAUUGUUGCUUUUAUUUUGUUUUAUUUUACUCUAAUAUUGCUUUCUCUGUCUGUAUAUUUAUGAGUUUAAAUGGUAUUGUUUAUGUAUGCAACUUUUAAUAUUUGUGUAUUAUAUUAUUUUGUGAUUGUGACAAUUGUGGAUUGUUCAGUUUUUUAGUAAAUAAACAUUUCAAACUCAAGUUUUUUUUUUUUAAGGGUUUUGGGGAUGUAUAGUAGUAUAUAGUGGGGGGGGUGUAGUCUAUCUGCAUAGCAGGCAAAUAACCAAUCAAGUCACUAAGCUAUGAGGGCUUGGGUUGGGCUUAAAACAAAGUGUAACCAAUCAAAUUAUCUCAACUGGAAAGUUUCAAAGUUGUGUCCCAAUAGUUGUCAGAGUUUUGGGAGGGGGUUUUAAAAGCAACCAAUCAGUGUUGAGAUUAAACACCAAUGGGGACACUAGAAUUGUGCAAAGGUGUGAAAUUCCAGUACCUCUGUAGGUGUGAAAGUGGCCCCUGCCAAAAUCUUCAAUGGGAUUACUUGCCAUGGCAACAAAUGGCUGCAUAUUCCACGGUGAUAUCCCCUCAGCAAGAUACAUCCGAAUUGGUAUCAUUACGGGAGUUUCCUAACUUGGUGGAAUUAGUAGUUUACCCUCAGUGGAACUAGUAGAUACUUCCGAAAAUCAGUAGUGUUUACAGGAGUUUCCUAGUACGGAUACACCUCUUUUCA
Molecule: non-coding RNA, 3784 nt
Organism: Misgurnus anguillicaudatus (oriental weatherfish)
Lineage: Eukaryota; Metazoa; Chordata; Actinopteri; Cypriniformes; Cobitidae
Source: RefSeq, a predicted model, not a curated record